AAAACAAAAAAAAAAAGCUGAUCUUGGGGUGAGGGUUCGGAUCCCGUGUUGGGCUCUGUGCUGACGGUGUGGAGCCUGUCUCCAUGUCUCUCUGCCCCUCCCCUGCUUGCUCUCUCUCUCUCAAAAAUAAACAUUAAAAAAAAAAAAAGCUGAUCUUGAGGAUUCUGGGAUCUGGGAGAAAGCUUUUUAGUCAUUUUUUAAGCAUCCUUUUAAAUAAAGUCACCCUGCCCACAUCCAGAUUAAGGUACUCUAUAUUUUUUAUUUUUAUUGUUUUUAAAGUUUAUUUACUGAGAGAGGGAGAGAGAGAAUCCCAAGCAGGCUCUGCACUGUCAGCACAGAGCCUGAUGUGGGGCCUGAUCCCCACGAACUGUGAGAUCAUGACCUGAGCCGAAAUCAAGAGUUAGACGCUAAACUGGCAGAGCCACCCAGGCACCUUGGUACUCAAUAUUUUAGAGAGUAUGGUUUUUAUCAUUUCCCACCAUGUCUGCCUAUCCACGUACAUCAAGGCUCAGCUCAAAUGCUCUCUCCUCAGGAGACCCUUCCCCUCCCAUGUCUAUUCUUUAACCCUUAUUACAUUCUGUGUUUAGGUAAAUGUUAAUCCUCCACUGAGAACAGGGGCUGCGUCUCAAUCACCUUUCUCCUCCCAGUGGUGCCGAGCCAGUGCCCCGAGCACAAAGAGGCACCCGCUGCUCUCCGUGGAAUCGCCUGCCUUUAGUCAGCCCAUCCGUGGCUUCAAAAAUCAAAGAACUAGGGACUUUACAAUUAUGCAACCCUAGAAGUGCUUUACAAGGAUGAUUUCUAACAUUAUUUAUGUUUCAAAUUUUAUAAUUAGCAGUUGCAGAUCUGCCAGUGCAGAGUCCUGUGAUCACAGAACUAAAUUAUCUCCACUUUUCACUUUGAAACUAAAGUACAGUAAGACACCCAUUGCAGCUUGGUGUUUUGCAUUUUGCCUCUUUCCCAUCUGGCCCCUGCCCACACUAGAUGCUGUAGCUCCUGACUCAUCUUUUUAUUUGUAUGGUACAGAAAUCUGCUUUUCCUAAAACGAUGCCACAUGGACAGUUCCCAAGUAGUUUUCAGAGCUGUCUAUGUGGACUGAUUUUGCAUCAAUCAGAGAAGGAAAUCGUGUGUUUCUGCGGGAAUAUUCUGUUCAUUAGGGCUGGAGAGCCUGCCUCUGGUGUCACAAAGGGUGACCCUUUUAACAGGGUUUGUAUUUUCUCACUCAGUUUCAGUAAUAUACGAGUAAGUACAUAAUGGUAUUGAAGAGACCCUGGCAGUCAGAACUCCUAGCUGAAGAAAUGCUGGUCUAGGAAAGGUAGCCCAGGCAUUGGUUUUUUUUUCCCCCACUGCGGAAAAGAAACCACCACAUUCAGUAGAGUUUGGAAGGUGGUUGGUGAGCAGUAGGAAAGCCAAGUUCAAAACCAGGUUAAAAAACAGCCCCUUUCUCUUCUAGGCUUCAUUUUCCACAUCUUUAAAACUGUACUGAAGUUAGAUUAUUACAGGGUUCUUCCUUGAACGUUUUAUUUUUCCUUCUAACAGAAAUGCUAAUAUGCUGUCCACAUAACUACGAAAAUGUUCUUAAUGUCCGUCAUUAUUGACACGUAAAGGGGAUUUGUUCUGGGGGGUUGACCUUAUGCAGCUCUAGGAAGUGGCAGAGCAGUCUCUGUGAGGCACAUUGUCUGUCUCGUGUGGGAACUGGAAGCCCAGAGGACGGGCAGGGAGACCUCGAACAGAGAUGCUGAACAUCCAGGGGCAGCUGGGACAGUUGCAGCCCAGAUGCGGAUUCACACCAGGAGGUGGGCUUCUGGCUAAGCAACGUGGUGAGCUACUAAAUGGCUACCGCCUCAUCCGGGCCCCCCAGAUCUUGCACAAGAAUUUGUGGCUCACCCUGACUGGGAACGGAAUUCUGGGAAAUGUGGUUCAGGUUAGCCAAGUCGGUACCUUACAAAGCGCCACAGUGGCUGUGCCAGGAUGGCGCGACUCCAGAUGAGCUUGCCUUUUUAUUUUUACAUGUUUUAAUUCUUCACAACGAACGUGUAUUAUUCAUAUAAUCUGAAAAAACAUAAAGCUGUUCUCUUUGAGGCGGGGGAAUAAUCUUCCUUCGCUAAAAGGAACAAUAAGAAUCGGAGGUUCACUGUUGAGAGAGAAGGUGCCAUCUAUUACACAGGUGAACGUCAACAGCUCUUACCUGAAAGAAGGAUUUACAAGAUGCCCGUGUUUCAGUUCCUCUUUUGCCACAACUGUUGACACUGGCUUUAAGCCCUAAAAAUCCAGGUGAAGAAUGAAGUACUAAGGAAGACCAGCUUCUCAAUCACUGAGUGUCUUCAGUGCAGAAAAGUGCCCUGCGAACACACCAUCUUUCCCGUAGAUGAUGUAACUGAUGGAAACGUCGGAGCCUGGCCCUCCAGGAGUCUCUCCCUUCGGACGGCGAGAUCCUUUUGCGUAGAGCACAGAAGCUUCUGCUGUGGUGCAGACCUUAAACACACUGAGGUUAAGGAGAAACUAAUAAACACAUUUUAACGCU
This is a long non-coding RNA of Neofelis nebulosa (Clouded leopard), 2521 nucleotides long. RefSeq lists it as uncharacterized. The record is from RefSeq and is a predicted model, not a curated record. NCBI's taxonomy places the organism in Eukaryota, Metazoa, Chordata, Mammalia, Carnivora, Felidae. The transcript is spliced from 2 exons.